Molecule: long non-coding RNA, 5808 nt
Organism: Ruditapes philippinarum (Manila clam)
Lineage: Eukaryota; Metazoa; Mollusca; Bivalvia; Venerida; Veneridae
Exons: 3
Source: RefSeq, a predicted model, not a curated record
GAUCGUGUAAUAUUAGGGUAAAAGCUUUUAAAUCUUAAAAGUAAGGUUUUACUCUAUAUGUGCAGAUAUAUUGAUAUUUUCGGGUAAUUUUAAUUACGAUAUUUUAUUAAAUACAGUCAGUAUCAACAUAAUGGCAAGGAAUAGUGGAUGUACUGUUUCUUCAAAAAGCCUAAAACUUGGUUCUCUGUUACUAUUUGCUGGAUUUAUAAUUCAUGUUGUUGGAUUUUCGAUUGCGAAAUGGGCGUCUUAUUCUAGUACCAUAUUCAGCGGACAAACGUCUUACCAUGUUGGAUUAUGGGAACAGUGUCUCUGUGCAAAGAUAAUCUUGGAACAAUGCGCAUGUAUAAAGAGAGACGGAGAUCAAACAUGGUUCAUAGCAGUACAAGUCAUGGAGACUUUGGGUCUAAUUGGAUUGGCUUUUACUGGAAUCAUUUGUUUGAUUCUUGUAUGUUGGAGACAAACAAAGGCAUUGAAGAAAUUGAAUAUUUUCUCGAUUUUAUGUUCAAGUGUUUUCAUUAUCAUCUGAUUAAUUAUAUUCGGAGUUGAAAACACAAAUAACUUUAAUGCCUUGGUUGAAAUUAUCGGCGCAAAAGACACAGACGGAAAACUUGGCACGUCCUUCUUCUUAUGCGCUGGUGCCGCCGGAAUAUCCUUACUUGCAUGCUUGCCUCUAUUCUUGAUUGACCUGAGAACCCAAAUACCAGAGUCUACAAACAUGCAACAACAAACAGUGCAAUACUCGAGCCAAGGUCAUGUCAUGAGUGUAUCACCGCAUCAGGUACAUGUUAUACCGAAUGUUUCAAGUCAGCAACCACAGACAAGUUCUGUGCCAGCAUACGGACCUUACAGUGUGCCUCAACCGUACACACCACAAGCGUCCUGGGGAUAUAACACGACUAGUCCUCCGCCACAGCCAGAUGGCUAUUACCACCCUUACAAAGGAUAGGAAAGAUACGGAACAGAGAGACAGAAUGAGAACUAUGUGAAAUUCAUGACACAACAUAUGCAAACUCUAGCUAAUAUUUACCUAGCUUAUUUUUUCUGCACUGGUUUGACAUUUUACGAUGUAAGCCUUGUCAAAUUUUGCACUAUAUAUUCUACAGUAAAUCAGUCACAUUGAAGUUGCCCAAUUUAAAAGGCCCUGCCUGCUGGCACGUUGUAUAUCUAUUCCGCUUAGAGAAAUCUGCUGUGUUGAUUAAGCGAAAGAAUCCUUUUAUUAUUUCAAUAUACGUUUUUUUUCAUCUUCAACAAAUACCAAUUGUUAGGUGAACGACAGUGCAUUUUAAUGUACAUUUGUAAUUGUAAAUAUAUUUAAAAAUUGCAGUUUUGAUUAUUUUCUGGCUCGAAACUAGCACAAAUAUCUACACAGGAUUGAUGUUGAUGUUCACUGUAUUAAGUCCCAUAUCCGCGACAUUCUAGCACCAUAUUUGAAUAUAAUCACCAUUUCAUCCAUCUUAGUACAGUAACUCCAACAUUAUGUAGGCAUUUGUUUAUGAUUUGGAUGGACCCAUCUAACACACAUAUCAAUAAUAAACUAACGAUGAAUAACGGCCACCAGAGUAGAACUACCGACGUCCUGUAAGCUUGGUAGAUAGUUUCAAUGCAUGAAAACAAUCUGAAAGCCCCUGGCAAAACUUGAACCCACGGCGAUGAGGGGCAAGUAGUUUGAAGUCGAUAGCCUUAAUCUGUUGGCUUCGGACGUUGCUUAAGACGUUGCUUAUUUAUAAUAUGCCGGUGUUACAAAAAACUAGCAAGUGUUUUUAAUAGCCCCAGUAAAUCGAGUGACUGCUUAUGAAUGUUCAGACUAGCUGUUUUUAUUCACAAAACUUGUAUUUGUUUAUGUUUAAGCUUUUGCAACAUAUUUUGAAAAUCACGAGGAAGGUUCUGAAGGGUUUAGAAAGAUUUAAAAUGCAGAAAAUUAUGUUGAUGAUAUUCUUGUGUACUAAUGACAUUGGUUAUACAUUCGCAUGUUUUCAUACGUUUGAGGGAAUCUUAACUUUUACUUUGUUUCAAGAUUUUAGCAGCUGGACUGAAGAAGUGUAGUAUGUGUUUGUUUUAUUCAUGCAAAUGAAGUGUUUAGAAUUUAUUUUAGGAGUAGCAAGUGUAUUGGAACCUGUUCCAUGUAAAAUGAAAUAAAAAAAACAUGCCUUAAACUAAGAAACAGGUAGGGUCAUUCGUAAGUGUUGUUGGAUUAUAUACGAUAAUUUGUUAUACUUGGAUCCAUUUAUUUAUGUUUGCUUUUACAAUUGCCUACAAAAUGACGUAUUAAUUUUAAAAGAUACAUGUUCACCAAAUAAACGUGGUUAAGGGGUCAGAAUGAAGAUUUUACUUGAGAAAACAUUACGAUUUUAGAGUUCAAAUAGAGUAUGGAACGUUGUCUUACACCACGCUGUUCAUAGCAAUACGAGUUUGAAACGAGGUCUGUACGCGUCGUCACUAAAUGACGUCAGUUGGUCCGGCCUCCAAGAUAGGAGAGGUUUGCUUUAUCUUAACGAAGAUGACUGAUAUUGUUUCUGUGGCAAUUAAAUUUCCGUGGAACACAACCGACAUUUUAACUUCUACUGAGCAUAGUCUCUGUUUCAAUACGUUGACGUUCAAAAGCCCACGCAUUGCAGUCUUUUUUCUCUUAUAUAAAUUACUUUAAGGAAAAUGUUUACAUAUUUUAUUACCUCUGUGCAAGGGCAAAUCUUACAAAACGUUUCUAAUAAGGCGUUUCUUACAAUUUUAAUCAAAUAGGGACCGGUAUGUACCCAUUGUUUAUAGUCGUAAACAUUUUUACAUCACAUUGUUUAAAUUUUAAACGAUUAUUGACAAUUUAACUAUAGUUGUGCCAAAACGAAAUUAUAUGAUAUAUAAUGACUUAAAAAUCAAUACUCUUAAGAAAAUUAGUUUUAGGUUAUAUUCGGUAAAUAACAAGUCCUUUGUCAUAGUUCUGUAGUAAACUUGACCAUGUUUCUGUAAAAUACAUGACUAAAUACUUUAAAAUGUUAACAUAAUCACACAUAAUAGAAAUUAAACUUUAUUUAGCUAUUGCAGGUAUUGCUCAUUACGCCCAGAGAUAGUGCUUAACAUAACGCAUUUUUGUCCGUCUUUCAAUCCGCCUUUCAAUCCAAAAUUAUGUCCAGAGUACCAACACCCCCGGUCUUUAUUCUAUAGAAAAUGUAACCAUUUAUGUAUAUUUAAUACUGAACAAAAAUUCCCAACCUUAGAAAUUUGUAAAACAUUGAGCUAGUAGUUACAUGUAUAAUAUUUCUUUAUAAAGAUGUCAUAUUGCACAAGGGUAACUAUUAGAAAGAUUUUGAAAUAAAAAACAACAACUUCAAAUGAGUAUUCGAGCUAAGACAUAUCGAGCCUCCACUUUCUAAUGGUUGCCUCUAGCCAUCUUAUUAUAAAAAAAACCUGAUUUCACAUAGUCAGUUAAGAUCGAUAUAAAAAAACAAAUUAAAGCUCUCUGCAUAUGGAAAGGCUUAUAACUUUUGCCAAACUAAUGAAUAAUUUGAUAUUAAAAGGGGCUCCACUACGGUGCGAUGGCCUAAAUAUACACAUGGAAAUAGGUUAAACACCCCCGGAUAUUUAAAAUUGGUUGUGAUUUAAGCACUGUCAUGAGAUGACAACUUAAUUGAGCUAAUACGUAGUAUUGUGAUAAGUAGCGAUACCAAUUUAAAAAUCAUAAACCAGUUAAUUUAUGAGUUAAGUUAAUUCUUAACCAAAUUAUAGAAGCAUUAGCAAAUGUGAUGAUUAUAAGUAUGGUGUUGGAACAUUUGUGGAUAUUUUAAUAAAUGUUGACGAUUACGUAACCUCAAAUGGCAUUAUGUAGCCACGUUUUCAGUAAUAUAACGUGUGUAACCGCUACGUGCCCGAAUUAUAGCCUCAACCCUUCUCCUCAUACUACCAGUAAGGUGUCGAAUGCGAUUUUGAGGAAAAUUUUGACAUUCUUGGUGCAGACCUUGUUCUGGUUGUUGUAGGUUCACUACAGGUGGUUCGUACCAUUGCCCAAAUAAAAUUUUGAAUUUCAGUUGUUGUCAUGUCAAAAUUGAGGCAAAAUGCAAAAGAUGCAUAUCCCCUCCCAACGGUAAAUGAAUGUCUAAAUGCAUUGGCAGGUGCCAAAUGGUUCAACUACAUGGACUUGUGUUCGGGAUUUUAGCUGGUCGAAAUGGAUCCAGGCGACAAACAUAGAACAGCUUUCUCAACAUCUGAUGCAUUGUACAAAAAUGUAUUAUUUCCGCAUUUUUACAAUUUCCCAGAUGACUUGGAACUCAGACAUUGACUUAUAACAAGCUGGAAAAAUCAUACUAGAUAAACCCAGUGGAACGUUCGGGUCGUAUACUCGUCCACAUAGUGGUCAUCUUCUGCUAUUCCUGUUAAAAGGCGCCUCAAACAACAUGUCUUGAUGGGUGUUAAAGUAUCAUUAUCAUGACUUACAAACGUUAAAGAAUAUCUAGUGUGAAACAUUCAGAAAACUUUAGAUUGUUAAAUUAUACUUGACUCUAUAACAAUAUUGUUCUACAUACAAUCCUUUUUCCAUUUUAUGUAAUGAGUCAGUUCAAUGUUUAAUAAUCAGUACACGUAGGUUGACAAUCACCUUAUAUAGAUGACAAUUGCCGAUAAAGAUUGAUAUAAUAUUGAGGUUUGAGUGCAAUAUUUGCUUUUAAAAUAAUGUCAAUACAUACGUAUUUAUUUACGAUCAUUUAUAUUUAGAAAGAGAAAAAUUGAAGUUCACAAUACCCGGUAAGGGACAUUUCAGAAACAUAUUAAGAGUGGGGCAUGUUAAGGAGAAGAAAGAAGUAUUAACUUUAUACUAUAAGUUGAAAUUAUAAAAAAGUUAAACAAAUGGCAAAGGUAUUUCAUACUCUUUAAAUCAUACUGCCUUCGAAGUAGUCUGAUGACGUCAUAUUUUCAAGCAAUUUUUAUGAUCAACUGUUGCUUCGUUCGGGCCAAUGAACAACAACGCUUAUUAUGCCCCAGAAAUGCGGCAUAUUAAAAUCGCACUGUCCGUCUGUCUGUGCGUUCCCGCUUACACAACAUUCAUGUCCGGACUGUAAUUGUCAUGCAUAUCUUUAAAAUAACUUGGCAUAAAUAUCUACCAUAUCUUGAUGAUGUGUCGCGUUUAAGGACUAUGUCCCUACCGCCACACUUACAUUUUGAAGUUUCAUAUUAUCACACUUAGAAUUUAAAGGUACACACAUUCGUAUACUGGCUGUAACUUGUCAGGUAUUCAAGGAUUUUAAAAUAACAUAGCAUAAAUGUCUACCACAUUAAGACGACAUGUCGCGUUUAUGACACAUGUCCCUAUCUCCAAGGUCACACUAAUAAUUUGAAGGUACAUAUUUUAACAAGAAGAGUUUGAAUGUACACAUCCAUGUCUGGACUGUAACUUUGCCAUGCAGUCAAGGAUUUUAAUAUAAUUGUCUACCACACCAUGAUGAUGUGUCGCGUCAGGUCAAUGUCAAACAUAAUUUUGAUGAAUCACAUUCUCACAGAGAUGAAAGAUACACACAAUUGUGUCCGGACUAUAAGCAUAAAAGGAUUUUGAAAUAACAUGGCAUAAAUGUCUACCACAUUUAGACGACGUGUCGCGUCUAAGACAAUGCCCCUACCUCCAAGGUAAAGGUGGUAAGUUUUCUGUGAAUAGCACUUUAUUUCACAAGAAGAAUAUAUCGCAAUUAGUUAGUUUCAUUCUCUUUUCUUUUCAUAAUACCGUUCUGCAAUACUUUUUCGGGGGCAUUUGUCACUUUUAAGGAAGUCGAAAGUAUCGUUAUUAAGCAAUGGCGUCGUCUAAUGAUCACGCGGCGUCCUGUCAUUUUAAUC